CCUACGGGUGGCAGCAGUGGGGAAUAUUGGGCAAUGGGCGCAAGCCUGACCCAGCUACGCCGCGUGAAGGAUGAAGGCUCUCGGGUUGUAAACCUCUUUUAAGAGGGACGAGCAGAAGCCGGUACCUCUUGAAUAAUCCUCGGCUAACUACGGGCCAGCAGCCGCGGUAAUACGUAGGUGGCAAGCGUUGUCCGGAUUUACUGGGUGUAAAGGGGGUGUAUCCGGGCUGACAAGACAGAUGUGAAAUUCCGGGGCUCAACCCGGGAACUGCAUUUGAGACUGUUGGGCUUGAGUAUCUGAGAGGCAGGCGGAAUUCCUAGUGUAGCGGUGAAAUGCGUAGAUAUGAGGAAGAACACCGAUGGCGAAGGCAGCCUGCUGGACCGCAACUGACGGUGAGGCGCGAAAGCGUGGGGAGCAAACAGGAUUAGAUACCCCAGUAGUC
RNAcentral lists this ribosomal RNA (442 nucleotides) under uncultured bacterium. RNAcentral's name for it is "partial 16S ribosomal RNA". It matches the Rfam family "Bacterial small subunit ribosomal RNA", at positions 338 to 795 of the family's 1533-position model. The record is from RNAcentral.